This 487-nucleotide ribosomal RNA is filed under the name uncultured bacterium. Its description in RNAcentral is "partial 16S ribosomal RNA". It matches the Rfam family "Bacterial small subunit ribosomal RNA", at positions 28 to 523 of the family's 1533-position model. The record is from RNAcentral.
GAUAAACGCUGGCGGCGCACAUAAGACAUGCAAGUCGAACGGACUUAACUCAUUCUUUUAGAUUGAGAGCGGUUAGUGGCGGACUGGUGAGUAACACGUAAGCAACCUGCCUAUCGGAGGGGAAUAACAGUGAGAAAUCAUUGCUAAUACCGCAUAAGCUAGUAGCAUCGCAUGAUGUAGCUAGAAAAGGAGUAAUCCGCUGAUAGAUGGGCUUGCGUCUGAUUAGCUAGUUGGUGGGGCAACGGCCUACCAAGGCGACGAUCAGUAGCCGGACUGAGAUGUUGAACGGCCACAUUGGGACUGGGAUACGGCCCAGACUCCUACGGGAGGCAGCAGUCGGGAAUAUUGCGCAAUGGAGGAAACUCUGACGCAGUGACGCCGCGUAUAGGAAGAAGGUUUUCGGAUUGUAAACUAUUGUCGUGAGGGAAGAAAUUGACAGUACCUCAGGAGGAAGCUCCGGCUAACUAUGUGCCAGCCGCCGCAGUAA